GGUUGCGAUCAUACCAGCAANAA
RNAcentral lists this ribosomal RNA (23 nucleotides) under Cliffortia curvifolia. Lineage: Eukaryota; Viridiplantae; Streptophyta; Magnoliopsida; Rosales; Rosaceae. The record is from RNAcentral.